RNAcentral lists this long non-coding RNA (1601 nucleotides) under Cervus hanglu yarkandensis (Yarkand deer). Its description in RNAcentral is "lncRNA (ENSCHYG00000008781.1)". Lineage: Eukaryota; Metazoa; Chordata; Mammalia; Artiodactyla; Cervidae. The record is from RNAcentral.
UGCUCACAGGAGGUAUCUUCACCAAGCUCUGGAGUCCUCUGAUGUCUUCUUCCUGGCUCCCUCUCUCCUUCCUCACAUCCUUCCCCACUUACCUCUCUAUCUUUUCUGUUUCCUUCCCUCCUCCUGCUCUGUCUCCUUCCUGUGUGGUUGCCCACACCCUGUUUUACUGUUUUCUCUUGCUGCUCUCAUCUUUUCUACAUUUUCUGCUUUCUGCCCCUUUUCUGGUCAUCCUUGGUUUCUCAUCUCCUGUGUCCUGACCACCUCUCCCCAUUUUCCUUUUUCUGAUCCAUCAGGACCUGAGACUCCUUCCUUCUCUGCCCACCGCCCCCUCCCACCUCCUAAGGUGCUGACUCCAAAGCACACAGCCUUCUGUGCAGCUGUUCACACCCUGGGCCUCCGGAGGGGCCUCAUUGCCAAAGUGUGUCUGUCCCCCUGUGGGUGUCUUAGUUGGUGUGUGUGUGUGUGUGUUUUGGGGUGGGAGUAGGUAGAUAGGCAUUGGGCUCACUUUCUCCCAGUAGAGGGGGGUGCACAGCGUGUCUCCCAUUUAAGUUGAAAAGAAGUAUCUGGAGGUCAAUAAUGUCCAACGGGCAGGAUACUCAAAGCAGAGACCUUCGAUCCGUGGGCCCCACCUGGUGCUCAGCCUCACCUGAGAUUGGCUCCAGAAUUUUUGCAGGCUUACUAAACACCGACCGACUAAAGGGCAUUUUAGAGGAAGCCAGGAGUGAAUGCCUUCCAGCCCAACUACUCUGUGGAAUCAAAGGAGCUCUUGAUGAACCCCAGGGUCUUGAAGACACCUGUCUGCAAUGUUGGUGAGGGGCAGUAAUGUGGCCCUCCUGUCUCAGUGAUCAAAACAGCUUGUCCUGCCUCUGCAGGGAGAAGAGCAUGGAUCCACCAGCCUUAGAAGUGAUGUAAAUGUGGACAAAGAAUUCUGCCUGCAUUUUCAGAAAACAGUGAAUUAUCUUGUCCAUCAUGUCCUCAGGGCGUCAGCCUCUGUUUCAGCCCUAAUAUCCUAUCCUGAGGGGAAUUCAGGAUGGAGAAAAACAAGGUACUGAUCCUAGAAAGUUAAGAUGCAUAUCAGAGGAUAAUUUUUGUGAGCCCAGAGCACUAUAUCUUCCCAUACAUAGAAAAGCAGUAAAAUCAUUGACUUGAGACAUCUGUUUUUUGUGAUCAGCAAUAAUCUAUUGAUUUUAACUACAUGUGUUCCCCCAGCCCCAGUAAAAUCUCCUGUAUAUCCUGACUCCUCCCUUACCUCUUUGGAACAGUUCCUCAGAGCUAUCUGAGAGUGUCUCCUUGGCUAGAGUCCUCAGUAAUAUCUCCAAAUUAAACAUAAAUUUGUGACUUUUAGGUUUUUCCUUUUUUUUCCUCAGUCAAUGGUUUUGCUGACUACAGAAGGCACCCAGGGAAAGCUUCUCCUCUUCUCCUGAACUCUAUGAAGCACUGAGCCUUCUAUACCACCAGAGGCCUGUUGCGCCCAUCUGCCUCCUUAGGGAGUCCAGAUGAACUGAGGUGAGUCUCUCUUGGGUUUUGGAUUUCCUGUUAUUGUCUGAUAAUCCUAAAUUUUAUUCUGUGGUGUUAAGCUCAUCUCUGGAGGAGUAGGUUCU